RNAcentral lists this ribosomal RNA (469 nucleotides) under uncultured bacterium. RNAcentral's name for it is "partial 16S ribosomal RNA". It matches the Rfam family "Bacterial small subunit ribosomal RNA", at positions 28 to 507 of the family's 1533-position model. The record is from RNAcentral.
GACGAACGCUGGCGGCGUGCUUAACACAUGCAAGUCGAACGGAAAGGCCCUGCUUGCCGGGUGCUCGAGUGGCGAACGGGUGAGUAACACGUGGGUGAUCUGCCCCUUAUUUUGGGAUAAGCCUGGGAAACUGGGUCUAAUACUGGAUAGGACCAUGCUGUAGGUGGUGUGGUGGAAAGAUUAGUUUCGGUAAGGGAUGAGCUCGCGGCCUAUCAGCUUGUUGGUGGGGUAAUGGCCUACCAAGGCGUCGACGGGUAGCCGGCCUGAGAGGGUGGACGGCCACAUUGGGACUGAGAUACGGCCCAGACUCCUACGGGAGGCAGCAGUGGGGAGUAUUGCACAAUGGGCGCAAGCCUGAUGCAGCGACGCCGCGUGGGGGAUGACGGCCUUCGGGUUGUAAACUCCUUUCAGCCAUGACGAAGCCCUUGUGGUGACGGUAGUGGUAGAAGAAGCACCGGCUAACUACGUG